AGCGAACGCUGGCGGCAGGCUUAACACAUGCAAGUCGAGCGGGCUUCCUUGUGGUGUCAGCGGCAGACGGGUGAGUAACGCGUGGGAACGUGCCCUUCGGUUCGGAAUAACUCAGGGAAACUUGAGCUAAUACCGGAUACGUGCGAGAGCAGAAAGGUUUAUCUGCCGAAGGAUCGGCCCGCGUCUGAUUAGCUAGUUGGUGAGGUUACGGCUCACCAAGGCGACGAUCAGUAGCUGGUCUGAGAGGAUGAUCAGCCACACUGGGACUGAGACACGGCCCAGACUCCUACGGGAAGCAGCAGUGGGGAAUAUUGGACAAUGGGGGCAACCCUGAUCCAGCCAUGCCGCGUGAGUGAUGACGGCCUUAGGGUUGUAAAGCUCUUUUCUCCGGGACGAUAAUGACGGUACCGGAGGAAUAAGCCCCGGCUAACUUCGUG
This 437-nucleotide ribosomal RNA is filed under the name uncultured bacterium. RNAcentral's name for it is "partial 16S ribosomal RNA". It matches the Rfam family "Bacterial small subunit ribosomal RNA", at positions 29 to 507 of the family's 1533-position model. The record is from RNAcentral.